GAUGAACGCUGGCGGCGUGCCUAAUACAUGCAAGUCGAGCGAACGGACGAGAAGCUUGCUUCUCUGAUGUUAGCGGCGGACGGGUGAGUAACACGUGGAUAACCUACCUCUAUGACUGGGAUAACUUCGGGAAACCGUAGCUAAUACCGGAUAAUAUUUUGAACCGCAUGGUUCAAAAGUGAAAGACGGUCUUGCUGUCACUUAUAGAUGGAUUCGCGCUGCAUUAGCUAGUUGGUAAGGUAACGGCUUACCAAGGCAACGAUGCAUAGCCGACCUGAGAGGGUGAUCGGCCACACUGGAACUGAGACACGGUCCAGACUCCUACGGGAGGCAGCAGUGGGGAAUCUUCGGCAAUGGGCGAAAGCCUGACGGAGCAACGCCGCGUGGGUGAUGAAGGUCUUCGGAUCGUAAAACUCUGUUAUUGGGAAAGAACAUAUGUGUAAGUAACUGUGCACGUCUUGACGGUACCUAAUCAGAAAGCCACGGCUAACUACGUG
RNAcentral lists this ribosomal RNA (497 nucleotides) under uncultured bacterium. RNAcentral describes it as "partial 16S ribosomal RNA". It matches the Rfam family "Bacterial small subunit ribosomal RNA", at positions 28 to 507 of the family's 1533-position model. The record is from RNAcentral.